CCAUUUUCUCUCUCAUAAAAUUCAAAACAAUACGAAGCAUUUACAGCAAAAAAUUGUCCAAAAUUACUUGAAAUUUAGUACAAAUGUCUGAAAUUCAAGGUGAUAAAACAGAAUCGGAACAAGAUUUACCAAAAGAUGUAAUUUCACAAAAGGAGACUUCGAAGAAGAUUAUUGAAGUUGAAACUGCAAAAUCGGAACAAGAUGUGAGUUUGCAGAAGAACAUUUCAGAGAAGAACAUUUUGCAGAAGAACACUUCAGAAGGGAGUAAUUCGGAGAAAAAUACUGAAGAAAUGUAUGAACCCUAAUUUAGUUCAAUUUCUUGCGAUUUAAUGUGUGAACAAUAAUUUUUGUUAAAUUCCUUGCAAUUAUAGUGUGAUUUUAACAAUUAAUUAAACAAAACAGAGAUGAUGAUGAAAUACUUCUUCACUCAAGAGUAGAUAAAUUGAAAAAAAAGCGCGAAAAAAGUCCAAUUGUAGAUCCUGAACUUUUAAAAGAUAUUGAAAAGUCAAGUGGUACAGAUCUAAAAAUGUCUCCAAUUUCAAGGUAUAUAAUCAUUUACAUAAUAUAUUAUGUUCAUU
Long non-coding RNA from Chenopodium quinoa (quinoa), 578 nucleotides. RefSeq lists it as uncharacterized. NCBI's taxonomy places the organism in Eukaryota, Viridiplantae, Streptophyta, Magnoliopsida, Caryophyllales, Amaranthaceae. The record is from RefSeq and is a predicted model, not a curated record. The transcript is spliced from 3 exons.